RNAcentral lists this ribosomal RNA (454 nucleotides) under uncultured bacterium. Its description in RNAcentral is "bacterial SSU rRNA". It matches the Rfam family "Bacterial small subunit ribosomal RNA", at positions 504 to 956 of the family's 1533-position model. The record is from RNAcentral.
CGUGCCAGCAGCCGCGGUAAUACGUAGGGUGCGAGCGUUAAUCGGAAUUACUGGGCGUAAAGCGUGCGCAGGCGGUUUUGUAAGACAGGCGUGAAAUCCCCGGGCUCAACCUGGGAACUGCGUUUGUGACUGCAAGGCUAGAGUACGGCAGAGGGGGGUGGAAUUCCACGUGUAGCAGUGAAAUGCGUAGAGAUGUGGAGGAACACCAAUGGCGAAGGCAGCCCCCUGGGUCGAUACUGACGCUCAUGCACGAAAGCGUGGGUAGCAAACAGGAUUAGAUACCCUGGUAGUCCACGCCCUAAACGAUGUCAACUAGGUGUUGGGUGGGUAAAACCAUUUAGUACCGGAGCUAACGCGUGAAGUUGACCGCCUGGGGAGUACGGCCGCAAGGUUAAAACUCAAAGGAAUUGACGGGGACCCGCACAAGCGGUGGAUGAUGUGGAUUAAUUCGAUG